AUGGCCAAAUGCUUCAAUAGGGUGCUCAAAGGUGCACGUGGAUUACCCGUGACGGCAAUAGUUCAAUACACAUUUGACAAGAUGAAUGCGUACUUUGUAAAGUACUCGAUGGAAACGGAUGCACAGAUAGCGGGUGAGAACCCGCGCAAGUACAAGUUCCCACCCAAGGUUGAUGAAUGGUUGGUAUUUCAAUCACGGAAGGCGGACUCAGAAGAAGCUAUAUUAUAUGACAACGAAGAGUGGAAGUACGAAGUGAAAGAGCCAGGAGGAGCCACAAACGAUGGCCGGCAACAUGGAGGUCGGGCUUUCAAGGUGUUGUUAACACAAUGUGAUUGCACUUGCGGGAGGCCAUUGUUGCUUCAUCUCCCAUGCUCACACUUGUAUACCGCCGGUCGCGUUAGGAAUGUGGGCAUCAAUCACCCACGCACUGUGAGGGAGUCGGAGUUCUCAAUCAUGACGGUCAAGAAAACAUGGGCUCCCCGCUUUCACCCGCACUUUGACCAAUCACAAUGGCCAGAGUAUCAUGGAGUUAAACUAUGGUCGGAUCCGGAGUUGAAGGUUGUUAAAUGGGGUAGACGUAAGACAAAGCGUCUUAGAGGCGACAUGGACGGAUGGGGCCAUGGUGGCCGCCACGAAGCGGGCAACGACCAAUUCCAAGAGCCUUGUGAGAGCUCCCGUUGUGGGGAGUGCAAAGGUCAUGGCCACAACAAAAGAAAAUGUACGAAACCAAGGAAAAGGUCCAAGAAAAAGAUGCAAGCACAAGACAACAAGGAGCUACACAAGGGAGCCAACCAAGUGGUAGCCAACAAGUGCCAAGCCAACCAAGAGGUAGCCAACAAGUGCGAAGGCAACCACGUGGUAGCCAACCUAGUGGUAGCCAACAAGUGCCAAGGCAACCAAGUGGUAGCCAACAAGUGCCAAGCCAACCAAGUGGUAGCCAACCUAGUGGUAGCCAACAAGUGCCAAGGCAACCAAGUGGUAGCCAACAAGUGCCAAGCCAACCAAGUGUUAGCCAAAGAGGAUCUAGGCAACAAAGAGGUCGGCAACUAG
Molecule: ribosomal RNA, 1050 nt
Filed under: Triticum aestivum (bread wheat)
Lineage: Eukaryota; Viridiplantae; Streptophyta; Magnoliopsida; Poales; Poaceae
Description: partial small subunit ribosomal RNA
Source: RNAcentral